AUACGGAGGGUGCAAGCGUUGUUCGGAAUUACUGGGCGUAAAGCGCGCGUAGGUGGUCUGUUAUGUCAGAUGUGAAAGUCCACGGCUCAACCGUGGAAGUGCAUUUGAAACUGGCAGACUUGAGUACUGGAGGGGGUAGUGGAAUUCCCGGUGUAGAGGUGAAAUUCGUAGAUAUCGGGAGGAAUACCGGUGGCGAAGGCGACUACCUGGCCAGAUACUGACACUGAGGUGCGAAAGCGUGGGGAGCGAACAGGAUUAGAAACCCCGGUAGUCC
Molecule: ribosomal RNA, 274 nt
Filed under: uncultured bacterium
Lineage: Bacteria
Description: partial 16S ribosomal RNA
Rfam family: Bacterial small subunit ribosomal RNA
Source: RNAcentral